This 2295-nucleotide long non-coding RNA is filed under the name Sorghum bicolor (sorghum). RNAcentral describes it as "long non-coding RNA (SBIC_LNC001775)". Lineage: Eukaryota; Viridiplantae; Streptophyta; Magnoliopsida; Poales; Poaceae. The record is from RNAcentral.
GGCGCAUAUAUGGAGCAUUAAAUAUAAAAAAUAAUAACUAAUUGUAUAGUUUGCAUAUAAUUUGCGAGACAAAUCUUUUGAGUUUAGUUAGUCAAUAAUUAGACAAUAUUUGUCAAAUACAAAUGAAAGUGCUACAAUAUCCAUUUUGCAAUUUUUUUUAACUAAACAAGGCCUCAUUGUAUUCUAAUUUAUUGGUCAUUUUAGGUUUGUAGAUACACAAUUUUAAUUAAGUAUCUAAAGACAUAUCAUAUUUUGUCAUGUAUUUAGGCAUAUAUGAUAUGCAAGUAAAAUGACCUAUAAUUUGUGACAGUGGAUUGUGGCUAACAAGUUAGAAGUGAGAAUCCAUCAAAAGGAACGAGGAAUCAACAAUAUCCAUUGCUUCCCAAACAUAAUAAUUCUAAUAUCCAUUGACCGCCCUUUGUUAGCCAAGCUAGAGACAACUGCUCAAUUUAGGGGAGAUGAGCCCAAUUAUGGCAUACUAUAGUGAAUUCGAUUUGAUAGCGGGGAAGUCCAUUUGAAUUAAUUUGCAACGAUGAGCUUGUCGGUGACUAUGAGUGAAGGGGUAGAGGAACACUGCCACAGAAGCUCAUUUGGAAACAGCAUAGAUCUAUUUUUGCCGCUAUGGUUCAUUUGAGGUCGAUUUCAUAGUUGCGCGAACGAUUUUGAGUGGCAUGCAUGGUCAAUUUGAGCUUGAAUUUGUAUGAUUCGGGUUUAUUUGGAGAUUGUGAGAGUUCUACUUCCCUUGACUAGGGUACAUUCAAAGAGAUGUUUGAUUGGCAUAAAGAUAAGAUUGAGAUAGUGAACGACACAUAUGACAAAGGUUCUAAAAAAAAUUGCCGAUGUCAUCUCAUUAUAUACAAAAGAACCUUACACAAGCUUGUGCAGAGAAAGUCACAACUGACAUUAUGGAUGAGAUUCGAGGUAGAAAUUAUUAGUGCUUAUUGAUGAGUCUAAAGAUGUAUCAAUAAAGGAUCAAAUGCUGUGUUUCUAAGGUUAGUACUCCACAAUUGCAAUUUUUUGCCUAGUUUUUUUUUUUUUUACAAUUAUGUCUACAAUUAUACUAACACAUAAAAAAAAUUUGGUGUGCAGGUUUGUGAAUGAUGAAGGGAAAGUGGUGUUAAGAUCUAGGCUUCGUCAUGUUCAAAGCCGUACAGCUGUUUGCAUUGAAAGAAGCUUUGGUAGUUAGUAUACUUUUAAGUCCUAAUUUGUCAGUCUCUUUGCUUUGUGGGUAAGUGUACAACAGAGCUUCUAAUAUGAAAGUUGAAUUUAUUGAGGGUGUAGAAAUUGAUUCGUGAUGAAAAUCAUUUUGCUUUCUAUGCGCCUUCUAAAUUUUUUGCUGGGAGUGAGUGGGGCGGUGAGGCGAGAAUGCGGCGUCGUCCUCUCCUCCGUCGUCCAUGCCUGGCGCGGUGGCGCAGGGAUAGAUCGAUCUCAUCUCCGGGCGUGGCAGAUUGCCGCGGUUGUAGUGUACGUAGGCUCCGGUCCGCUGCUGUAACACUCUAAAAUUUACUCCUUUUGAAAUAUAGAUAAAAUUAUUUAAUUUUGUAUUUUUGUGCUCAUGAAAAUAUAGGAAAAAUAAUAUUUUUUUUAUUAAAUUAAAAUUUAUUAUAAGGCAUAGCAAUAUUAUUAUGCAUACAUGCUGGUGCAUAUGUUUUGAAGUGAUGCUUGUUGCUCCUUUAUGUGUUGAUAGUAAGAAAAAUAUUUAAAAUACGUUUAGUAGAUCGAUCUUCCUUAUUUGGCACGUAUUUAUCUUUUAUCUACAACCAAAUUCCUUGUUUCUAAGCUCAAAUUUUGAUUAGGACCUUCCUAAAAUCUUUUCUUUGUCACUCAAAGCACUUCUUUUAGUUCCUCGUCCAUCAAGCAAUCUCUACAAACUUUUCGGAAAUUUUUCCAUCUUCUGUUCUCACUUUUCUCUGAGCAUGAUCUAAUUUUUAGAUGCUCUAAACAAUCUUAUCAUUAGCUCUAAAAACUUUAUUCGGGUUCCCCAUGUUCUAUAAUAUCUCUGAGAAUUUUUCCCAAAUUUUCGGAGCUUUCGGAGUAUUUUUCGUGGCUUAACUACUAAAUCUAAACUUUUCUAGAAUUAUUUUAUCAAUGAAAAUAAUUAAUUCUGAAAAUAAUAAAUCUCUUAUUAGUUUUCCAACGUCAAAGCCCAUAAUAAACCCCAAAAACCAUGUAGUUAUUUACUAAUAGGCUUUAAUAAUUAAUUAGGCCUAUUAGUAAAGAUGAAGGUUGCAAAUCAAUUAGUACCAUAUCGCUAGUUGACGUGGAGCUGUGGAGUUUCUCUCCCUAUAUAUUUGU